Molecule: ribosomal RNA, 359 nt
Filed under: Tomentella lateritia
Lineage: Eukaryota; Fungi; Basidiomycota; Agaricomycetes; Thelephorales; Thelephoraceae
Description: LSU rRNA
Rfam family: Bacterial large subunit ribosomal RNA
Source: RNAcentral
GACAAUAAGAGGAACCACUUAAAAAUAUUUAUGGUGGUGUCACAAAAUCGGAGGCCACGACUGUUUACUAAAAACACAAUUCAGAGCAAUGAUGAAAAUCAUAGUAUUCUGGAUGAAAUUUGCCCGAUGCCAUUAACAUAAAAGAGGUAAUGGGAAACUGUUACUAAUUGAAAGUCUGGUUAAUAGCGGUCUUAACUAUGAGGAUCCUAAGGUAGCAAAAUCAGUUGGCCAUUAAAUGUGGUCUGGUAUCAAUAGUGUAACGAUGGUCUCACUGUCUCUACAACUUGCUCAGUGAAAUUGAAUUAUCCGUGCAGAUGCGGAUUGCCUCCAGGUGGACGGGAAAACCCUAUGCAGCUCUA